GAUGAACGCUGGCGGCGUGCCUAAUACAUGCAAGUCGAACGAGGUGCUUUUGUAGCAAUACGAGAGUAUCCUAGUGGCGAACGGGUGAGUAACGCGUGGAUGACCUGCCCCAAAGUGUGGGAUAACAGUCCGAAAGGAUUGCUAAUACCUCAUGUGGUUAUCGGUUUUAGAAAGCGAUAACUAAGGCAGCAAUGCGCUUUGGGAGGGAUCUGCGUCCCAUCAGCUAGUUGGUGAGGUAACGGCUCACCAAGGCGACGACGGGUAGGGGGACCUGAGAGGGUGGCCCCCCACAAUGGAACUGAAACACGGUCCAUACACCUACGGGUGGCAGCAGUAGGGGAAUAUUGCUCAAUGGGCGAAAGCCUGAAGCAGCAACGCCGCGUGUGCGAUGAAGG
RNAcentral lists this ribosomal RNA (395 nucleotides) under uncultured bacterium. RNAcentral's name for it is "bacterial SSU rRNA". It matches the Rfam family "Bacterial small subunit ribosomal RNA", at positions 28 to 414 of the family's 1533-position model. The record is from RNAcentral.